This is a long non-coding RNA of Hibiscus syriacus, 105 nucleotides long. RefSeq lists it as uncharacterized. The transcript has 3 exons. Lineage: Eukaryota; Viridiplantae; Streptophyta; Magnoliopsida; Malvales; Malvaceae. The record is from RefSeq and is a predicted model, not a curated record.
UGUAACUCCAGGACAAGAAAAUAAAGUAUGUAGGUUGGUAAAGUCAUUAUAUGGACUUAAACAAGCACCAAAACAAUAGCAUGAAAAAUAAAGUUGUCUCUAGAU